GGCCUAAUGGUCUAGUAGUAUGAUUCUCGCUUUGGGUAGGUUUGAACCAGCAAUCCUUAUGCGAGAGGUCCUGGGUUCAAUUCCCAGUUGGGCCC
Molecule: non-coding RNA, 95 nt
Organism: Marasmius tenuissimus
Lineage: Eukaryota; Fungi; Basidiomycota; Agaricomycetes; Agaricales; Marasmiaceae
Source: the annotation of a GenBank genome assembly